Small nuclear RNA from Vulpes vulpes (red fox), 108 nucleotides. The record is from Ensembl. Lineage: Eukaryota; Metazoa; Chordata; Mammalia; Carnivora; Canidae.
GUGCUUAAUUCAGCAGCACAUAUACUAAAACUGGAACCACACAGAAAAGAUUAGUAUGGCCCCAGAGCAAGGAAGACAUGCAAAUUCAUGAAGCCCUUUCAUAUUUAU